Molecule: long non-coding RNA, 1140 nt
Filed under: Sorghum bicolor (sorghum)
Lineage: Eukaryota; Viridiplantae; Streptophyta; Magnoliopsida; Poales; Poaceae
Description: long non-coding RNA (SBIC_LNC010768)
Source: RNAcentral
AUCAAAAUGUGCAUGUGUGGUGGAGUAAAUGAUAGUAAUGGUGAAAAUGUAUAAGUGAUGAUAAAACUUACUUCUCAUUGGUCCUCAUAUUGCUAUCUCUCCUCCUCUCUUGAUCUUUGCUUUGGGAGAACAUGGGCUAUCUUUUCUUCUCUCUUUCUUUUUUUUCAGGUGGGUAGUAAAUACCCCUAAUCCUACUGUCGGACACUUGUUCAUUUUUUCCGCUCAGGUGGGCAUCUUUGUACCCCUAAUUCUACUCCGGACACUUGUCCAUUUUUACCUCUCGUCUCACUCUUUUUCUUUCUUUUUCGAGGUUCUGGGCACUUGCCCCUUUUUAUUUCCUCGUAUAUUUUUGCAUAACCCAUGCCUCUUCUGCAUUGAAUCUUUUUGGGGAGAGAGAAUAACAACACUUGGGACAAUGAGUGAUAACAAUAUUUUUAGCAGUUUUUGAAUGAAUGGUGAUGGAUGGUGUAAUAGAUGUGUGCAAGUGAGUAUCUUGAUUUAAUCACAUGAAAGCUCCUAAGGGUCUACAUAGCUCAACUAAACUCAAUGUGAAUAUAAGUAGCAAAAGAUAUAGAAAUUAUAGCAAGUAUGGCUGUGGUAGGAAUUUUGUCAUGCUAGGAACUCAUCAUGUGAUUUGCAAGUUUUUAAAAAUGAAUCUCUAGAACUUAGUGUAGUAAGAACAAGAUAAACAGUAGCUCAAACUUUAUAUCAUGUCUAUCUCUUACCUAGAAUUUAGUUUUUGGUUCAUGCUCCCAUAGAUAUUCAAUUUCAAGUUUUAGCAAUUCCUAGGAGAACUCUAAUUUGAAAGCUAGGUACUUGAAAGUAAGUAAACAGAGCAACUGUUCAUCAUUUCCAUCAUGCGUCUUUUUGGUUUUUUCAUUUUUUUCUAGAGAUUAAACUUAGGAGGAAAAAUAAAGCACACUUAUCUACACACUCUUUUUUAUGUGGUUUUUCAUUUUUAAGGAAUGCAGUAAAUUAAGCAAGAAAGUAUUUAUUGGGUUUUCUAAGCUUCUUUUUUUUGAAAUACUAAAACAGAAAAAUAAAUAAGAAAAACAAAUAAAAACUUACUCGGAAAAACGGGGAGGAACUCCCCCAAGCUGGAUGUGGUUGUGUCAGUCUUACUCAAUGUUCCAGAACUGC